AGCUGAGGGGUUCCACCUGUUCUCAUUCCGAACACAGAAGUUAAGCCCUCAUACACCGACAGUACUGUGCCGGCGACGGCAUGGGAGGAUAGGCAGCUGCCG
Molecule: ribosomal RNA, 102 nt
Filed under: human gut metagenome
Source: RNAcentral